AAUAUAGAGCCAGAGGGCCGGCACGUGCCGCCCGGUGGCCAAUCGUAGCCCUCCGUGGAGAGCCCACCUCAAGGAUGCUGGGUGCUGUUAGCUGCCUUCUGCCCCGGCGCAAACUUUGCCAAGGAAGAAGCGGGCUGCGGCGCACAGGACCCGGGGAACCUCGCGGCGCCUGUAGGGUCAAGGAGGCAGCGCCUGGCAUCGCCCUGAGCCGACCCGGGCUGCCCCCGCAGAGGUGCGGGGACAGGGGAGGGAGCUGAAGGUAAGAUGGGAAGCAGGAAAAUAUGAGCCAAUGAAGAUGUCCUCAGAGCUAUCACUUAGAGCAGUGGCUCUCAACCUUUCCAGUCUACUGUACCCCUUUCCAGCCUACUGUACCUCCAAGUUUCACCUCAUUUAAAAACUACUUGCUUAUAAAAUCAGACAUAAAAUACAAAAGUGCCACAGCACACUAUUACUGAAAAUGGCUUACUUCCGCAUUUUUACCUUAUUAUUAUAAAAUAAAUCAGUUGGGAUAUAAAUAUUGUACUUACAUUUCAGUGUAUAUAGAACAGUAUAAACAAGUCAUUGUCUGCUUUAAAUUUUAGUUUGUACUAACUUAGCUAAUGCUUUUCAUGUGGCCUGUUGUAAAACUAGGCAAAUAUCUAGAUGACUGGAUGUACCCCCUGGAAGACCUCUGCGUACCCCCCAGAGGUAGGCUACCCCUGCUUGAGAACCACUGACUUCAUAGAACCUAUAAUGGCUUUGAAUCGAAAUAAGGUAGACAAAACCCACUUGUGUAUUGCCUUCAGGGGCAAAAUUACCGGGGGCAGGGCGGGAGAGGCACAAAGUCUGAGGAGACUGUUAUCCCGACCAGAGGGUCACUUUUUUUUUUUUUUUUUUUGUGACUAACGGAUUCAGUUGCAUCCUCCCUGCUGGAAACUGAAUGCCGAGCGUCAGCCCGUGAAUAUUAGAUUGCGGUGUUCUGAGCUUCGGUUUCUGUCUCCUCCGGCUGCGGUUUCUGGUCGAAUCCCAGCUGGCCCAGACUCGAGCUGAAGUAGGAGGAAUCGCUGUCGAGUGAAGAGUGCACAUUGUGUGAUUGAUGAACUCCCCCCCCCCCUUCCUCCCCCGCCAGCCCCGCUCCCAGCAAGGACCGCAGCCUUCCCACUGCAACUGCUCACUUGGUAAUGGAGAGUUGUUGCCUGUUCAGUGAUUAACUUGAUAUCUAGUCUCCAGAAGUGUCAUGGGCCAAUGUAACUCUGGGCUAGCCGAUCUCACGACUUUUAAAAGUAUAGGUUGUGGGUUCAUAAAUAUAUAAUAGCACGUGGUCCUAGAGCCAACCAACACUGACCGCUAAUUGUACACGUAGAAGAAACGGGCUUUUUGUGCCGCCUGUCUGCCACAGAGCUAUUGUUCCUGGCGAGGCAUUUCAAACGUUCCCUUGGAUAGCCCCAGCGUUACUGCAGAUAACAAACACGGUGAAUGUGAAAGCUGUGCAGAUCAGUUCUUCUGAGACUAUAGAGUAUUUGCAGUGGCUUUCAUUGUAUCUUAUUAUUGGCAGUCUUUGGAAAUAUAAAGAGGCAGGAACUAAAA
Chrysemys picta bellii (western painted turtle) is the source of this 1566-nucleotide non-coding RNA. NCBI's taxonomy places the organism in Eukaryota, Metazoa, Chordata, Testudines, Emydidae. The record is from RefSeq and is a predicted model, not a curated record.